UACAGAGGUCCCGAGCGUUGUUCGGAUUCACUGGGCGUAAAGGGUGCGUAGGUGGUUAGGUAAGUCCGAUGUGAAAUCUCCAGGCUCAACCUGGAAAUGGCAUUGGAUACUAUUUAGCUUGAGGAGUGGAGGGGGGACUGGAAUUCUCGGUGUAGCAGUGAAAUGCGUAGAUAUCAGGAGGAACACCGAUGGCGAAGGCAGGUCUCUGGGCUGACACUGACGCUCAUGCACGAAAGCGUGGGGAGCAAACAGG
RNAcentral lists this ribosomal RNA (253 nucleotides) under uncultured bacterium. Its description in RNAcentral is "partial 16S ribosomal RNA". It matches the Rfam family "Bacterial small subunit ribosomal RNA", at positions 524 to 776 of the family's 1533-position model. The record is from RNAcentral.